RNAcentral lists this ribosomal RNA (118 nucleotides) under Diaphorina citri (Asian citrus psyllid). The record is from RNAcentral. Lineage: Eukaryota; Metazoa; Arthropoda; Insecta; Hemiptera; Psyllidae.
GUCAGUAUUGAUAGCUGGUUGAAUGAACCGAUUUUUAAGGGAUCACUAAAGUUAAGCCACAUUGUGUGUGGUUAGUAUUCGGAUGGGUGACCAUCUGGGCAAUCGCGUGCUGCUGGCU